AUUUCUCUCACCGUGAAAUCUGCACCGACUACAAAUUGCUGUUCCGAUCGAGAAUUGCAGUCAUUUGCUCCGAUUGUGAUCAAGUACAUCCAUUCCAAGCUUCAAGAGAACGAACCCACCAUUCGUUCCCCCACAAAGAGAGAGAGAGAGAUUUUGCAUUGUUCUUGAACUCUCCCAUUCAGUGGCUCGCGCCUCUCUUACUCUCUUCAGUUGUAAGACUAAGUUAUUCUUCUCUCCCUGAUUAUUACUAUUAUUUGAAUGUUGGGUUGAAUUGGUUUGUUGGAGUUGAACUGGAAGUAUUUUUUUUUUUCUAAUUCAAGAGUCUGGGUUUGACUGGGUUAGAAGACUUUUUGAUGGUACUACGUCUAUGUAUUUAGAUUGAUGCUUAGUUUAUGAAUUUUAAUUACCUUCCAUGUUUAGCUGCAUGUAGAUAUGUUGAUUAGCUGGGUCUUUAUAAUCAAAUACCUUUUAAUCAUCUCAUAUGCGUCUUCUUCUAGAUUUGUUAUUUGUUUAGCAGUUUAGCUGCAUUUAAUUCAUGUUGUUUUUAGUUGUCUUGUUUAUACCUCUAUAUACCUGAUUUGAUUAUAAAUUUGUGAUAUCAUGAUAUUUAGUCUGAUGUAAUGAGAUAAUAUAUACGCAUGUUGGUGAUGGCGUCAAAUGAGAUGAGGCCUCAAGUGGCGACUCUAGCGGAAGAAAUAAGAGAAGAAAACUCAGAGAAAGGUUCGCUACCAGGAAAGGCAAGACCAAUGAAUUGACUCAUGGUAGUCCUGGAUUCCACAUUAAUCCUGGAAUUGGUGGCUGACAUUCUCAAGGAGUCACAAAAACAGAAUUUUAGUCUCAACCCCCCAAUAACAUUGGACAGCGGUGGAAAGCACCGAAUCUGUGGGGAAAUCCUUGCAAACGAGAUAAGAGGGAGACAGACAAAGGAAAUGGAAAAAGUAGACGCAAUGGAAGAGGCUAAACGUAUAAACAGAAACAAGAAAUUUACCUUUGAUCGGAAAGAUAUCACGGAAGGAUUCUAAGGUCUUAAAGUUCUUAUUUAAGAAGCCAAGGAGAGGAGGACAUGAGUCCAGGAAAGAGGUUGCCCACAGUGGUGGGGAUUUUGGGGUGUCCCUUGAGGAUAUCCAAUGUCUUUGCCCUACAAUCUCAAUUUCUUCGACGGUAUGCGAAUGUAUUAUCCGUGCCAAUUUCUUCUAAGCUAUUAUUGCACAUACAUUAUAGGGCUGUAAUCUUAACUUGAGAUGACUCAUGGUUCUUGCCUACUUUCUUUGGGGUACAAAGAAAUUACAUUGGGAAUAAUAACUCUGCUAUUGUACUUGCAUACAAACAAUGUUGAUAAUGAACGCAGUUGCAACUGAAGUAGUUGCCCCUGAAUGUGGCAGAGCGACAGGCAUGAUCCACGAGAAGCCUCCCAACAGAUGGAAAUGUUGCAGCCAUCGCAAGAGAAAAUCCCGUGUGUGAUGGUGUUUGGAAAAGUGUUGCAUUU
Molecule: RNA transcript, 1486 nt
Organism: Fragaria vesca subsp. vesca
Lineage: Eukaryota; Viridiplantae; Streptophyta; Magnoliopsida; Rosales; Rosaceae
Exons: 4
Source: RefSeq, a predicted model, not a curated record